This 617-nucleotide ribosomal RNA is filed under the name uncultured bacterium. RNAcentral's name for it is "bacterial SSU rRNA". It matches the Rfam family "Bacterial small subunit ribosomal RNA", at positions 338 to 944 of the family's 1533-position model. The record is from RNAcentral.
CCUACGGGAGGCAGCAGUGGGGAAUUUUGGACAAUGGGCGCAAGCCUGAUCCAGCCAUGCCGCGUGUGGGAAGAAGGCCUUCGGGUUGUAAACCACUUUUGUCAGGGAAGAAACGGUCUGAACUAAUACUUUGGACUAAUGACGGUACCUGAAGAAUAAGCACCGGCUAACUACGUGCCAGCAGCCGCGGUAAUACGUAGGGUGCAAGCGUUAAUCGGAAUUACUGGGCGUAAAGCGUGCGCAGGCGGCUUUGCAAGACAGAUGUGAAAUCCCCGGGCUCAACCUGGGAACUGCAUUUGUGACUGCAUGGCUAGAGUACGGUAGAGGGGGAUGGAAUUCCGCGUGUAGCAGUGAAAUGCGUAGAUAUGCGGAGGAACACCGAUGGCGAAGGCAAUCCCCUGGACCUGUACUGACGCUCAUGCACGAAAGCGUGGGGAGCAAACAGGAUUAGAUACCCUGGUAGUCCACGCCCUAAACGAUGUCAACUGGUUGUUGGGAGGGUUUCUUCUCAGUAACGAAGCUAACGCGUGAAGUUGACCGCCUGGGGAGUACGGCCGCAAGGUUGAAACGUCAAAGAGUAGUGACGNGNGAGAGCGACGAGACGACGACGGAGGAGG